UACGUAGGGGGCAAGCGUUGUCCGGAAUUAUUGGGCGUAAAGGGCGCGUAGGCGGAUAGUUAAGUCCGGUGUGAAAGAUCAGGGCUCAACCCUGAGAGUGCAUCGGAAACUGGUUAUCUUGAGGACAGGAGAGGAAAGUGGAAUUCCACGUGUAGCGGUGAAAUGCGUAGAUAUGUGGAGGAACACCAGUGGCGAAGGCAGCUCGCUGGGACGGUACUGACGCUGAGGUGCGAAAGCGUGGGGAGCAAACAGG
RNAcentral lists this ribosomal RNA (253 nucleotides) under uncultured bacterium. RNAcentral's name for it is "partial 16S ribosomal RNA". It matches the Rfam family "Bacterial small subunit ribosomal RNA", at positions 524 to 776 of the family's 1533-position model. The record is from RNAcentral.